Molecule: microRNA, 21 nt
Filed under: Brachypodium distachyon (stiff brome)
Lineage: Eukaryota; Viridiplantae; Streptophyta; Magnoliopsida; Poales; Poaceae
Description: bdi-miR5178-3p
Source: miRBase by way of RNAcentral
UCUGACCGGUGGGCCUGAGCG